RNAcentral lists this ribosomal RNA (254 nucleotides) under uncultured bacterium. Its description in RNAcentral is "partial 16S ribosomal RNA". It matches the Rfam family "Bacterial small subunit ribosomal RNA", at positions 524 to 776 of the family's 1533-position model. The record is from RNAcentral.
GACGGAGGAUGCAAGUGUUAUCCGGAAUCACUGGGCGUAAAGCGUCUGUAGGUGGUUUAAUAAGUCAACUGUUAAAUCUUGAGGCUCAACCUCAAAAUCGCUAGUCGAAACUAUUAGGCUAGAGUAUAGUAGGGGUAAAGGGAAUUCCAGUGGAGCGGUGAAAUGACGCAGAUAUCAGGAAGAACACCUAUGGCGAAGGCAGCUCUCUGGGACGGUACUGACGCUGAGACGCGAAAGCGUGGGGAGCGAACAGG